Molecule: long non-coding RNA, 1020 nt
Filed under: Triticum aestivum (bread wheat)
Lineage: Eukaryota; Viridiplantae; Streptophyta; Magnoliopsida; Poales; Poaceae
Description: long non-coding RNA (TAES_LNC009577)
Source: RNAcentral
UGAACCAAGACCAGUAUGAAAACUGGUAUGUCAUUCUGUAGAGAAGAAAACAUCGCACUGCUAUGAACUUGUUCUUCCUUGUGUCAUAUUGACACACAGAUUGGAACUAAGAGAGUGAGAUCAGGGCAUCCUGCCAAUUUAUUUGAAGUAUCAAUGAGUGAGAUCAGGGAGCCUUGGCGCAGUGGUAAAGCUGCUGCCUUGUGACCAUGAGGUCACGGGUUCAAGUCCUGGAAACAGCCUCUUGCAGAAAUGUAGGGAAAGGCUGCGUACAAUAGACCCAAAGUGGUCGGACCCUUCCCCAGACCCUGCGCAAGCGGGAGCUACAUGCACUGGGGCUGCCCUUUUUUAUCAAUGAGUAGUAUUUCUGCACACUCUGUAUCUUUGUGUUCUGAAAUGGCCAUUGCAGUGUUCUCAAUGCAAUCCUCCAUCUGCCUUUCAUGAAAGAAUGUUCUCAUUUUGGCCAUGAAGAUGAUAUGAAGUCUCAAACUUCCCUGGGAGUAGUAUUUCUGUUUCUCACUAGUAAUUUGUUUCAGUUUUCGUUUAUUUGUCUCUUGUAGUUUUGGAUGGCCUUCUGGGUGAUACUUUUCUAGGGAAUCUGAUCUCGAAACCGAAUAGUUGAGUAGUAGGCUAGUAUCAUUUUUGUUGAAAGCCUAUUUGUAUAUCACUAUGUAAACAGAAAAUUCUAAUGCCCUGGUCAUUGUACUGGAGAAGCAAAUGGUAACCUUAAAAAGGGUUAUGGCAUUACCAUGUAAAUUUCUGCUAUAUCUUUUAGCUAAUUUUGUCAUUCCAUAAUCGCACUAUCUAUAUUGAUCGCGAGGGCAUAUUUAUCCCUUAGCAUAUUUGUUUAGGGUAGUAUAGUGGGUCUUAUGUACGUCAUUUUUGCAAAUUUCUAUCUGGAAAGUCAGAAUAGGAAAAGGAAAAAAGCCGGAUGGGAUUCCAUGUAGUCUGGAAUCUUGCAGAAUUUCAAAUAUAGGAAUUACUAUGUGCCUCAGUCUACGAACCAACCUGUGAGGAUGGUGC